UACGUAGGGUGCAAGCGUUGUCCGGAAUUAUUGGGCGUAAAGAGCUCGUAGGCGGCCUGUUGCGUCCGCUGUGAAAUCCCGGGGCUCAACCCCGGGCCUGCAGUGGAUACGGGCUGGCUAGAGGCAGGCAGGGGAGAACGGAAUUCCUGGUGUAGCGGUGAAAUGCGCAGAUAUCAGGAGGAACACCGGUGGCGAAGGCGGUUCUCUGGGCCUGUACUGACGCUGAGGAGCGAAAGCGUGGGGAGCGAACAGG
RNAcentral lists this ribosomal RNA (253 nucleotides) under uncultured bacterium. RNAcentral describes it as "partial 16S ribosomal RNA". It matches the Rfam family "Bacterial small subunit ribosomal RNA", at positions 524 to 776 of the family's 1533-position model. The record is from RNAcentral.